RNAcentral lists this long non-coding RNA (2571 nucleotides) under Nicotiana tabacum (common tobacco). RNAcentral describes it as "long non-coding RNA (NTAB_LNC005759)". The record is from RNAcentral. Lineage: Eukaryota; Viridiplantae; Streptophyta; Magnoliopsida; Solanales; Solanaceae.
UGAUGUCCCAGAAAAAUAUUAGACGAUCCGGGUUCGGAGGCCCGGGCCCACGGCGGAAGGCAUGGGCUAUAGGAAUAGAGCUGAAUUCUAGUUUUAUGGCCGUAAAAUGCCAAAAAAUAUAAUUUGGUCAUGGCGGGGCGGUGUCUAUGAUUUCUUAGGUCGUCUUAGAUAAUUAUUAGGCGAUCCGGGUCAGGGGCGCGGGCCCACGGCGGAAGCGCAGGCUCACUACGGAAGGCGCGAGCCCACGAUGGAAGGCGUGGGCUAUAGCACACGAAAUAUAUGGGAAUCGAGUGGGGCAGAAUUCCAGUUUUAUGGCCAUGAAGUGACAAACAAAGUAAUUUGGUCAUGGCGGGGCGGUGACUAUGGUUCCUUAGGUGAUCCGGGUCCGUGGCCCAGGCCCACGCGAAAUUCUAGUUUUAUGGCCGUAAUAUGCCAAAAGAUGUAAUUUGGUCAUGGAGGGACGGUGACUAUGGUUCUUUAGGUCAUAUUUUAUAAAUAAUAGGUGAUCCGGGUCCGGUGGCGCAGGCCCACGGUGAAAGACUUGUGCUAUAGCACACGAAAAUAUGGUAAUCGGGCGGGGCAGAAUUCUAGUUUAAUGGCUGUAAAGUGCCAAACAAUGUAAUUUGGUCAUGGCGGGGCGAUGACUAUAGUUUCUUAGUUGUAUUUGAUGUCCCGACAAAAAUAUUAAGUGAUCCGGGUCCGUGGGACCGGGCCCACGGCGGAAGGCGUGGGCUAUAGCACACGAAAAUAUAAUAAUUAGGCGGAAUUAAAGUUUUAUGGCCGUAAAAUGCUAAAAUAUGUAAUUUGGUCAUGGCGGGGUGGUGACUAUGGUUCCUUAGGGCGUAUUUGAUGUCUAUGAAAAAUAUUAGGUGAUCCGAGUCCGGGGCACGGUGGAAGCCGUGGACUAUAUAACACACAAAAAUAUGGAAAUCGAUCAGAAUUCCAGUUUUAAGGUCGUAAAACACCAAAAAAAUGUAAAUUGGUCAUGGAGGGGCGGUGGCUAUGGUUCCUUAGAUCAUAUUUGAUAAUUAUUAGGCGAUCCGAGGGUGCGAGCCCAUGGCGGAAGGCGUGGGCAUAGCACACGAAAAUAAGGGAAUCAGGCGGGGUGGAAUUCCAGUUUUAUGGUCUUAAAAUGCCAAAAAUAUAAUUUGGUCAUGGCGGUGCAGUGGCUAUGGUUCCUUAGGUCGUAUUUGAUGUCCCUAAAAAAUAUUAGGCUAUACGGGUCCGGGGACCCGGGCCCACGACGGAAGGCGUGGCACACGAAAAUAUGGGAAUCGGGUGGAAUUCCAGUUUUAUGUUCGUAAAAUGCCAAAAAAUAUAAUUUGGUCAUGGAGGGGCAGUUUCUAUGGUUUCUUAGGUCGUGUAUGAUAAAUAUUAGGUGAUCCGGGUCCGGGGGCCUGGGCCCACGGCAGAAGGUGUGGGCUAUAGCACACGAAAAUAUGGGAAUGAGGUGGAAUUCUAGUUUUACGGCCGUAAAAUGCCAAAUAUAUAAUUUGUUCAUGGCAGGGCGGUGACUAUAGUGACUUAGGUCGUAUUUGAUGUCCCAAAAAAUAUUAGGCGAUCCAGAUCCGGGUUCCGUCGUGGGCUAUAUAACACACCAAAAUAUGGGAAUCAGGCGGAAUUCAAGUUUUAUUGUCGUACAAAGCCAAAAAAUAAAAUUUGGUCAUGGUGGGGCGAUGACUAUGGUUCCUUAGGUCGUAUUUGAUGUCCCGAAAAAAUAUUUGGAUAUCCGGGUUCAGGGCCCAGGCCCACGACGGAAAGCGUGAGCUAUAUAGCACACGAAAAUAUGGGAAUCGGGGGGAAUUCAAGUUUUAUGGCCGUAAAACGACAAAGAGUGUAAUUUGGUCAUGGAGGUGCGGUGAUUAUGGUUCCUUAGGUCGUAUUUGAUAAUUAUUAGGCGAUCCGGGUCUGGGGGCGCGGGCCCACGGUGGAAGGAGUGGGCUAUAGCACACGAAAAUAUGGGUAUUAGGCGAAAUUCCAGUUUUUUUACCGUAAAACGCCAAAAGUGUAAUUUCUUCAUUGCAGGGCGGUGACUAUAGUUCCUUAGGUCAUAUUUGAUGUUCCGGAAAAAAUAUUAGGUGAUACGGGUCUGGGGGCCCGGGCCCGCGGCGGAAGGCGUGGGCUAUAGCACACGAAAAUAUGGGAAUUGAGUGAAAUUCUAGUUUCAUGACCGUAAAAUGCUAAAGAAUGUAAUUGGUCUUGGUGGGGCGAUGAUUAUGGUUUCUUAGGUCGUAUUUGAUGUCCCGGAAAAUAUUAGCCAAUCCGGGUCUGGGGGACCGGCCCCACGGUGGAAGGCGUGGGCUAUAGCACACGAAAAUAUGGGAAUCGGACGGAAUUCCAGUUUUAUGGCUGUAAAUUAGAAAAAAAUUAUAAUUUGGUCAUGGUAGGGCGGUGACUAUGGUUCCUUAGGGCGUAUUUGAUGUCCAGGAAAAAUAUUAGGCGAUCCGAGGCCGGGGCACGGGACCACGGCGGAAGCCGUGGACUAUAUAGCACACGAAAAUAUGGAAAUCGGGCGGAAUUCCUGUUCUAAGGCUGUAAAACACCAAAAAAUGUAAAUUGGUCAUGGAGGGG